Long non-coding RNA from Gossypium arboreum, 396 nucleotides. RefSeq lists it as uncharacterized. The transcript has 3 exons. The record is from RefSeq and is a predicted model, not a curated record. NCBI's taxonomy places the organism in Eukaryota, Viridiplantae, Streptophyta, Magnoliopsida, Malvales, Malvaceae.
GAUAAGAAUUUCAUGUCUUUUGUAUUAAAGAAUUAAAUGGAUGAAAUAUGAAGUUUUAUUAAAAGAAAAAGGGGUGAAAAGAACAAAGUUUUGUCCAUCUUUGUUCAUCAUAGCUGAAAGUUAGAGAAGAGAAAGGAGAGGAGAAAGCUCUUGAGUAUUCAGUCAUUAGGAGGAGGAAAAUUGAAGGCGGUUCGUGUGUGGAUCUCGUCAGCAUAUCGUCGCAAACAAGAAAUCCCCAACCAUAGUGGGCUUGGAGCUACGAGGGAAUUCGGAGUGGCCACCCGUUCUGAAAGUUUGAUUUUCUUCUGGUGAACUGGACAUCCUUUUAUUUACGUUUGAAGUUUUGGGUUUUUAAAUGUAAUAAGGCCGCUUAAUUAUUUUUAAUGGUUUUAAUAA